Molecule: ribosomal RNA, 491 nt
Filed under: uncultured bacterium
Lineage: Bacteria
Description: partial 16S ribosomal RNA
Rfam family: Bacterial small subunit ribosomal RNA
Source: RNAcentral
GACGAACGCUGGCGGCGUGCCUAACACAUGCAAGUCGAGCGAGGAAUGACUGGUAGCUUGCUACCGGUUAUUUCUAGCGGCGGACGGGUGAGUAACGCGUGAGCAACCUGCCUUUAUCAGGGGGAUAACGCAUCGAAAGAUGUGCUAAUACCGCGUAAGACCACAGCCUCCCAUGGGGCAGGGGUCAAAGGAGCAAUCCGGAUAAAGAUGGGCUCGCGUGCGAUUAGCUAGUUGGUGAGAUAACAGCCCACCAAGGCGACGAUCGGUAGCCGGUCUGAGAGGAUGAACGGCCACAUUGGGACUGAGAUACGGCCCAGACUCCUACGGGAGGCAGCAGUGGGGAAUAUUGGGCAAUGGGCGAAAGCCUGACCCAGCAACGCCGCGUGAAGGAAGAAGGCCUUCGGGUUGUAAACCUCUUUUACCAGGGACGAAGGACGUGACGGUACCUGGAGAAAAAGCAACGGCUAACUACGUGCCAGCCGCCGCAGUAA